GAUUAACGCUGGCGGCGUGCCUAACACAUGCAAGUCGAGCGGCAGCGAGUUUUACACUGAAUUCUGGAAGCUUCUAGUUGAAAGAGAAGAUUUAUUCAAGAAUUUUGUGUAAAAUGUCGGCGAGCGGCGGACGGCUGAGUAACGCGUGGGAACGUACCCCAAAGUGAGGGAUAACGCAUCGAAAGGUGUGCUAAUACCGCAUAUGGUCUUCGGAUUAAAGCCUUCGGGCGCUUUGGGAACGGCCUGCGUAAGAUUAGAUAGUUGGUGGGGCAAUGGCCUACCAAGUCGACGAUCUUUAACUGGUUUGAGAGGAUGAUCAGUCAGACUGGAACUGAGACACGGUCCAGACUCCUACGGGAGGCAGCAGUGAGGAAUCUUCCACAAUGGGCGAAAGCCUGAUGGAGCAACGCCGCGUGCAGGAUGAAGGCCUUCGGGUUGUAAACUGCUUUUAUAAGUGAGGAUUAUGACAGUAACUUAUGAAUAAGGAUCGGCUAACUACGUG
Molecule: ribosomal RNA, 502 nt
Filed under: uncultured bacterium
Lineage: Bacteria
Description: partial 16S ribosomal RNA
Rfam family: Bacterial small subunit ribosomal RNA
Source: RNAcentral